This 968-nucleotide long non-coding RNA is filed under the name Citrus x clementina. RNAcentral describes it as "Citrus clementina (C. clementina) long non-coding RNA (CCLE_LNC005066)". The record is from RNAcentral. Lineage: Eukaryota; Viridiplantae; Streptophyta; Magnoliopsida; Sapindales; Rutaceae.
CCGCCCGAAGGCCGGGGAGCCAUGUUGGUCCAGCGGAAAAAGCCCACAAAAACGGGUGGGCUAUAGCCUUGGGGGGUGGGGCUGGCCAACUUUGUCCGCCGGACUCGGAAUGGAGCGAGAGUUUACGAAGCUCCUCCGUGUGCCAAAAAUACGCCGCGGGCACAGCCGCGCCCAAAAAUCACCGCCCGAAGGCCGGGGCGCCAAAUUCGUCCAGCGGAAAAAGGCCACAAAAACGGGUGGGCUAUAGCCUUGGGGGGUGGGGCUGGCCAACUUCGUCCGCCGGACUCGGAAUGGCGCGAGACUUUGCGAGGCGCCUCCGUGUGCCAAAAAUAGGCCGCGGGCAUAGCCGCGCCCAAAAAUAACAGCCCGAAGGCCGGGGCGCCAAGUUCAUCCAGCGGAAAAGCCCACAAAAACCGGUGGGCUAUAGCCUUGGGGGGUGGGGCUGCCCAACUUCGUCCGCCGGACUCGGAAUGGUGCGAGGCUUUGCGACGCACCUCCGUGCGCCAAAAAUAGGCCGCGGACACAGCCGCGCCCAAAAAUAACCGCCCGAAGGCCGGGGCGCCAAGUUCGUCCAGCGGAAAAAGCCCACAAAAACGGGUGGGCUAUAGCCUUGGGGGGUGGGGCUGCCCAACUUCGUCCGCCGGACUCGGAAUGGUGCGAGACUUUGCGACGCACCUCCGUGCGCCAAAAAUAGGCCGCGGGCACAGCCGCGCGCAAAAAUAACCGCCCGAAGGCCGGGGCGCCAAGUUCGUCCAGCGGAAAAAGGCCACAAAAACGGGUGGGCUAUAGCCUUGGGGGGUGGGGCUGGCCAACUUCGUCCGCCGGACUCGAAAUGGUGCGAGACUUUACGAGGCGCCUCCGUGCACCAAAAAUAGGCCGCGGGCACAGCCGCGCCCAAAAAUAACCGCCCGAAGGCCGGGGAGCCAUGUUCGUCCAGCGGAAAAAGCCCACAAAAACGGGUGGGCUAU